Molecule: ribosomal RNA, 676 nt
Filed under: Fusarium oxysporum
Lineage: Eukaryota; Fungi; Ascomycota; Sordariomycetes; Hypocreales; Nectriaceae
Description: eukaryotic LSU rRNA
Rfam family: Eukaryotic small subunit ribosomal RNA (bases 1-181)
Source: RNAcentral
CUGCCCUUUGUACACACCGCCCGUCGCUACUACCGAUUGAAUGGCUCAGUGAGGCGUCCGGACUGGCCCAGAGAGGUGGGCAACUACCACUCAGGGCCGGAAAGCUCUCCAAACUCGGUCAUUUAGAGGAAGUAAAAGUCGUAACAAGGUCUCCGUUGGUGAACCAGCGGAGGGAUCAUUACCGAGUUUACAACUCCCAAACCCCUGUGAACAUACCACUUGUUGCCUCGGCGGAUCAGCCCGCUCCCGGUAAAACGGGACGGCCCGCCAGAGGACCCCUAAACUCUGUUUCUAUAUGUAACUUCUGAGUAAAACCAUAAAUAAAUCAAAACUUUCAACAACGGAUCUCUUGGUUCUGGCAUCGAUGAAGAACGCAGCAAAAUGCGAUAAGUAAUGUGAAUUGCAGAAUUCAGUGAAUCAUCGAAUCUUUGAACGCACAUUGCGCCCGCCAGUAUUCUGGCGGGCAUGCCNGUUCGAGCGUCAUUUCAACCCUCAAGCACAGCUUGGUGUUGGGACUCGCGUUAAUUCGCGUUCCUCAAAUUGAUUGGCGGUCACGUCGAGCUUCCAUAGCGUAGUAGUAAAACCCUCGUUACUGGUAAUCGUCGCGGCCACGCCGUUAAACCCCAACUUCUGAAUGUUGACCUCGGAUCAGGUAGGAAUACCCGCUGAACUUAAG